RNAcentral lists this ribosomal RNA (478 nucleotides) under uncultured bacterium. RNAcentral describes it as "partial 16S ribosomal RNA". It matches the Rfam family "Bacterial small subunit ribosomal RNA", at positions 28 to 523 of the family's 1533-position model. The record is from RNAcentral.
GACGAACGCUGGCGGCGUGCUUAACACAUGCAAGUCGAACGGUAAGGCCCUUCGGGGUACACGAGUGGCGAACGAGUGAGUAACACGUGGGUGAUCUACCCUGCACUUCGGGAUAAGCCUGGGUAACUGGGUCUAAUACCGGAUAGGACCCUGGGAUGCAUGUCCUGGGGUGGAAAGCUUUUGCGGUGUGGGAUGGGCCCGCGGCCUAUCAGCUUGUUGGUGGGGUGAUGGCCUACCAAGGCGACGACGGGUGGCCGGCCUGAGAGGGUGACCGGCCACACUGGGACUGAGAUACGGCCCAGACUCCUACGGGAGGCAGCAGUGGGGAAUAUUGCACAAUGGGCGCAAGCCUGAUGCAGCGACGCCGCGUGAGGGAUGACGGCCUUCGGGUUGUAAACCUCUUUCAGCACCGACGAAGCGCAAGUGACGGUAGGUGCAGAAGAAGGACCGGCCAACUACGUGCCAGCAGCCGCCGUAA